CAGUCGCCGCGGUAAUACGUAGGUGGCAAGCGUUGUCCGGAAUUAUUGGGCGUAAAGCGCGCGCAGGCGGAUCAGUUAGUCUGUCUUAAAAGUUCGGGGCUUAACCCCGUGAUGGGAUGGAAACUGCUGAUCUAGAGUAUCGGAGAGGAAAGUGGAAUUCCUAGUGUAGCGGUGAAAUGCGUAGAUAUUAGGAAGAACACCAGUGGCGAAGGCGACUUUCUGGACGAAAACUGACGCUGAGGCGCGAAAGCCAUGGGAGCGAACGGGAUUAGAUACCCGCGUAGUCCCUGUCUCUUAUACA
RNAcentral lists this ribosomal RNA (301 nucleotides) under uncultured bacterium. RNAcentral describes it as "partial 16S ribosomal RNA". It matches the Rfam family "Bacterial small subunit ribosomal RNA", at positions 509 to 809 of the family's 1533-position model. The record is from RNAcentral.